RNAcentral lists this ribosomal RNA (486 nucleotides) under uncultured bacterium. RNAcentral's name for it is "partial 16S ribosomal RNA". It matches the Rfam family "Bacterial small subunit ribosomal RNA", at positions 30 to 507 of the family's 1533-position model. The record is from RNAcentral.
AUUGAACGCUGGCGGCAUGCCUUACACAUGCAAGUCGAACGGCAGCACGGGUGCUUGCACCUUGUGGCGAGUGGCGAACGGGUGAGUAAUACAUCGGAACAUGUCCUGUAGUGGGGGAUAGCCCGGCGAAAGCCGGAUUAAUACCGCAUACGAUCUACGGAUGAAAGCGGGGGCCCUUCGGGCCUCGCGCUAUAGGGUUGGCCGAUGGCUGAUUAGCUAGUUGGUGGGGUAAAGGCCUACCAAGGCGACGAUCAGUAGAUGGUCUGAGAGGACGACCAGCCACACGGGGACUGAGACACGGCCCAGACUCCUACGGGAGGCAGCAGUGGGGAAUUUUGGACAAUGGGCGAAAGCCUGAUCCAGCAAUGCCGCGUGUGUGAAGAAGGCCUUCGGGUUGGAAAGCACUUUUGUCCGGAAAGAAAUCCUUGGCUCUAAUACAGUCGGGGGAUGACGGUACCGGAAGAAUAAGCACCGGCUAACUACGUG